CCUACGGGAGGCAGCAGUGAGGAAUCUUGGUCAAUGGACGAGAGUCUGAACCAGCCAAGUAGCGUGAAGGAUGACUGCCCUAUGGGUUGUAAACUUCUUUUAUAUGGGAAUAAAAUGUUCCACGUGUGGGAUUUUGUAUGUACCAUAUGAAUAAGGAUCGGCUAACUCCGUGCCAGCAGCCGCGGUAAUACGGAGGAUCCGAGCGUUAUCCGGAUUUAUUGGGUUUAAAGGGAGCGUAGGUGGAUUGUUAAGUCAGUUGUGAAAGUUUGCGGCUCAACCGUAAAAUUGCAGUUGAAACUGGCAGUCUUGAGUACAGGAGAGGUGUGCGGAAUUCGUGGUGUAGCGGUGAAAUGCUUAGAUAUCACGAAGAACUCCGAUUGCGAAGGCAGUUCACUGGACUGCAACUGACACUGAGGCUCGAAAGUGUGGGUAUCAAACAGGAUUAGAUACCCUUGUAGUC
This 460-nucleotide ribosomal RNA is filed under the name uncultured bacterium. RNAcentral describes it as "partial 16S ribosomal RNA". It matches the Rfam family "Bacterial small subunit ribosomal RNA", at positions 338 to 795 of the family's 1533-position model. The record is from RNAcentral.